This 452-nucleotide ribosomal RNA is filed under the name uncultured bacterium. Its description in RNAcentral is "bacterial SSU rRNA". It matches the Rfam family "Bacterial small subunit ribosomal RNA", at positions 8 to 507 of the family's 1533-position model. The record is from RNAcentral.
AGAGUUUGAUCAUGGCUCAGAACGAACGCUGGCGGCAUGCCUAACACAUGCAAGUCGAACGAGACCUUCGGGUCUAGUGGCGCACGGGUGCGUAACGCGUGGGAAUCUGCCCUUGGGUUCGGAAUAACAGUUAGAAAUGACUGCUAAUACCGGAUAAUGUCUUCGGACCAAAGAUUUAUCGCCCAGGGAUGAGCCCGCGUAGGAUUAGCUAGUUGGUGAGGUAAAGGCUCACCAAGGCGACGAUCCUUAGCUGGUCUGAGAGGAUGAUCAGCCACACUGGGACUGAGACACGGCCCAGACUCCUACGGGAGGCAGCAGUGGGGAAUAUUGGACAAUGGGCGAAAGCCUGAUCCAGCAAUGCCGCGUGAGUGAUGAAGGCCUUAGGGUUGUAAGCUCUUUUACCCGGGAUGAUAAUGACAGUACCGGGAGAAUAAGCCCCGGCUAACUCCGUG